ACACGUGUGGUGAAACGGUAUCAUGCUUGCCUUCCAUUAGUGUGUCAACAAGCGGCCGGGGUUCAACUCCCCGCACGUGUA
This is a transfer RNA of Sphaerobolus stellatus SS14, 81 nucleotides long. It matches the Rfam family "tRNA". Rfam says of the family: Transfer RNA (tRNA) molecules are approximately 80 nucleotides in length. Their secondary structure includes four short double-helical elements and three loops (D, anti-codon, and T loops). NCBI's taxonomy places the organism in Eukaryota, Fungi, Basidiomycota, Agaricomycetes, Geastrales, Sphaerobolaceae. The record is from Rfam.